GUGGGGAAUAUUGCACAAUGGGGGAAACCCUGAUGCAGCGACGCCGCGUGAGGGAAGAAGGUUUUCGGAUUGUAAACCUCUGUCUUUGGUGACGAUAAUGACGGUAACCAAAGAGGAAGCUACGGCUAACUACGUGCCAGCAGCCGCGGUAAUACGUAGGUAGCGAGCGUUGUCCGGAAUUACUGGGUGUAAAGGGAGCGUAGGCGGGAAGACAAGUUGAAUGUUUAAACUACCGGCUUAACCGGUAAUCGCGUUCAAAACUGUUUUUCUUGAGUGAAGUAGAGGCAGGCGGAAUUCCUAGUGUAGCGGUGAAAUGCGUAGAUAUUAGGAGGAACACCAGUGGCGAAGGCGGCCUGCUGGGCUUUAACUGACGCUGAGGCUCGAAAGCGUGGGUAGCAAACAGGA
This 405-nucleotide ribosomal RNA is filed under the name uncultured bacterium. RNAcentral's name for it is "bacterial SSU rRNA". It matches the Rfam family "Bacterial small subunit ribosomal RNA", at positions 354 to 777 of the family's 1533-position model. The record is from RNAcentral.